AAGCAGCAAUCAUUUAAAGAGUGCGUAAUAGCUCACUAGUCUAGUUUUUUUGCACCGACAGUAUAACGGGGCUAAGCUAAAUACCGAAUUUUUGAGCUCUUAGGAAGCAGGAUGCUCCCCAAGAGCGGUAGGCGAGUGUCAUAUAGGCGACGAAGCUUGAGCGUGAGCACAAGUGGAGCCUACAUGAGCAAGAAUGCCGGCGUAAGUAACGUAUGAAAGUGAAAAUCUUUCUAGCCGAAUGACCAAGGUUUCCAGGGGAAGGGUCGUCCUCCCUGGGUUAGUCGGGCCUAAGACGAGGCCGCAAGGCGUAGUCGAUGGAUAGCGAGUUAAUAUUCUUGCACUCAUCUGGUUGGCGAAGGGAUGACAGAAGAGGUUAAUAUGUGCGGGUUAAUGGAUUCCCGUUUAAAUCUCGAGUGGGGGAAGCAGGCAAAACCACUUCCCGAAAAACCAUGAGGGAUGAGUAGGAGCGAAAGGGGAGACCCGAGUAGCGAAGUCAUAUACAUCAAAUUCUCAAGAAAAGUCUCUAGCUUAACAACCAGGUAUCCGUACCGAGAACGAACAC
This 562-nucleotide ribosomal RNA is filed under the name uncultured Mycoplasma sp. RNAcentral's name for it is "partial 23S ribosomal RNA". It matches the Rfam family "Bacterial large subunit ribosomal RNA", at positions 1110 to 1660 of the family's 2925-position model. Lineage: Bacteria; Bacillati; Mycoplasmatota; Mollicutes; Mycoplasmatales; Mycoplasmataceae. The record is from RNAcentral.